RNAcentral lists this ribosomal RNA (444 nucleotides) under uncultured Rhodocyclaceae bacterium. Its description in RNAcentral is "bacterial SSU rRNA". It matches the Rfam family "Bacterial small subunit ribosomal RNA", at positions 936 to 1374 of the family's 1533-position model. Lineage: Bacteria; Pseudomonadati; Pseudomonadota; Betaproteobacteria; Rhodocyclales; Rhodocyclaceae. The record is from RNAcentral.
AUGAUGUGGAUUAAUUCGAUGCAACGCGAAAACCUUACCUACCCUUGACAUGUCCGGAAUCCCGAAGAGAUUUGGGAGUGCUCGCAAGAGAGCCGGAACACAGGUGCUGCAUGGCUGUCGUCAGCUCGUGUCGUGAGAUGUUGGGUUAAGUCCCGCAACGAGCGCAACCCUUGUCAUUAGUUGCCAUCAUUUGGUUGGGCACUCUAAUGAGACUGCCGGUGACAAACCGGAGGAAGGUGGGGAUGACGUCAAGUCCUCAUGGCCCUUAUGGGUAGGGCUUCACACGUCAUACAAUGGUCGGUACAGAGGGUUGCCAACCCGCGAGGGGGAGCUAAUCCCACAAAGCCGAUCGUAGUCCGGAUCGCAGUCUGCAACUCGACUGCGUGAAGUCGGAAUCGCUAGUAAUCGUGGAUCAGAAUGCCACGGUGAAUACGUUCCGGCCUU